AUUGAACGCUGGCGGCAGGCCUAACACAUGCAAGUCGAACGAGUGGCGCACGGGUGAGUAAUGUCUGGGAAACUCCCUGAUGGAGGGGGAUAACUACUGGAAACGGUAGCUAAUACCGCAUACCAUCAGAUGUGCCCAGAUGGGAUUAGCUUGUUGGUGGGGUAAGGGGUCACAAAGGCGACGAUCCCUAGCUGGUGUGAGAGGAUGACAAGCCACACCGGAACUGAGGCACGGUCCAGACUCCUACGGGAGGGAGCAGUGGGGAAUAUUGCACAAUGGGCGAAAGCCUGAUGCAGCCAUGCCGCGUGUAUGAAGAAGGCCUUCGGGUUGUAAAGUACUUUCAGGGGGGAGGCGUUACCCUCCGAAGAAGGCCCGGCUAACUCCGUGCCAGCAGGCGCGGUAAUUC
RNAcentral lists this ribosomal RNA (406 nucleotides) under uncultured bacterium. RNAcentral's name for it is "partial 16S ribosomal RNA". It matches the Rfam family "Bacterial small subunit ribosomal RNA", at positions 30 to 526 of the family's 1533-position model. The record is from RNAcentral.